RNAcentral lists this ribosomal RNA (424 nucleotides) under Campylobacter showae. RNAcentral's name for it is "bacterial SSU rRNA". It matches the Rfam family "Bacterial small subunit ribosomal RNA", at positions 29 to 452 of the family's 1533-position model. The record is from RNAcentral. Lineage: Bacteria; Pseudomonadati; Campylobacterota; Epsilonproteobacteria; Campylobacterales; Campylobacteraceae.
AGUGAACGCUGGCGGCGUGCCUAAUACAUGCAAGUCGAACGGAGAUUAAGUAGCUUGCUAUUUAAUCUUAGUGGCGCACGGGUGAGUAAUAUAUAGCUAACUUGCCCAUUACUAAGGGACAACAGUUGGAAACGACUGCUAAUACCUUAUACUCCGUAUCUAUAUAAGUAAAUAUGGGAAAGUUUUUCGGUAAUGGAUAGGGCUAUAUCGUAUCAGCUAGUUGGUAAGGUAACGGCUUACCAAGGCUAUGACGCGUAACUGGUCUGAGAGGAUGAUCAGUCACACUGAAACUGAGACACGGUCCAGACUCCUACGGGAGGCAGCAGUAGGGAAUAUUGCUCAAUGGGGGAAACCCUGAAGCAGCAACGCCGCGUGGAGGAUGACACUUUUCGGAGCGUAAACUCCUUUUCUUGGGAAAGAAUUA